RNAcentral lists this ribosomal RNA (440 nucleotides) under uncultured bacterium. RNAcentral describes it as "partial 16S ribosomal RNA". It matches the Rfam family "Bacterial small subunit ribosomal RNA", at positions 338 to 795 of the family's 1533-position model. The record is from RNAcentral.
CCUACGGGGGGCUGCAGUGGGGAAUCUUGCACAAUGGGGGAAACCCUGACGCAGCGACGCCGCGUGAGCGAAGAAGUAUUUCGGUUUGUAAAGCUCUAUCAGCAGGGAAGAAAAUGACGGUACCUGAGUAAGAAGCUCCGGCUAAAUAUGUGCCAGCAGCCGCGGUAAUACGUAUGGGGCAAGCGGUAUCCGGAUUUACUGGGUGGAAAGGGAGCGCAGGCGGCCUUGCAAGGCUGGUGUGAAAUACCGGGGCUCAACCCAGGGGAUGCAUUGGAAACUGUGAGGCUGGAGUGUCGGAGAGGCGGGCGGAAUUCCUAGUGUAGCGGUGAAAUGCGUAGAUAUUAGGAGGAACACCAGUGGCGAAGGCGGCCUGCUGGACGAUGACUGACGCUGAGGCUCGAAAGCGUGGGGAGCAAACAGGAUUAGAUACCCCAGUAGUC